This 1513-nucleotide long non-coding RNA is filed under the name Equus caballus (horse). RNAcentral's name for it is "lncRNA (ENSECAG00000057515.1)". The record is from RNAcentral. Lineage: Eukaryota; Metazoa; Chordata; Mammalia; Perissodactyla; Equidae.
UCGGCGCGGGCCCAGCCUGAAGCCUCCGGCUGCGCAGCUCGCAGAGCCGACCCCGCGAGCGGGUGACGCCGAGCGACUGCUUCAAGGUUACCUGCGACGCGGAGCGAGGCCGGGCCGGCAACCUGGCUUUGACCCCGCCGCGAGUCCUGAGAGAUGGGUCUCCUCGGCUGCGGGCGACGCGCCAGGUUACCCAGGAGACGGGUUAUUUGGAAGUGGGAAGGGCAGGUUUGUGGGGGGCACUCCGGGCACCUCCCACUACCCCUCUGGAGGCCGACCUGAACACCUAGGCACAGUGAGGGUCACGGAGGUGGGAGCGCCGGGAGGUGGGAGGUGUGGGGCUGGUGCGCGAGCUCAGCCAGAUGCUCGGGGCGGCUUCAGCUGUGCCUCCGGGCUGGGGACAGGACUCUCUUCCUCCCCAACCCCCAGCCUGGAGCUCAGAUCUGUAAACAAAUUCUCGGUUCAACCCCGUCCCCCGCCGCUCCUGGGAGCCGGUCUCCGAGAAGGCGUCCGCCCCCACCCCGCAAUCUGCUAGGAGCCGCCGUAGUUCCCUGCCUUAUGCCACCCUCUCCGGCCCCGCCACACACACCCUCUGCCGCAAGAUCCAAGUCGCCCACCCCCGGGAUGGCUCGGGCAUGACCUCAUCUGCGGGCCGACUGGGAGGGAGGGCGUCGAAUCGGGGGAAGAGGGCCGUGAAGCCUCGCGGCGGGCGAGAAACUGCACAGCCACCUCCAUCACUCAUCUGCGUAAAGCCCGCGCCCCCAGCCCCGCGGCUGCGCCUCGUAAGGGAGGCUCCUCGGAGCGCAGCGGAGCAGAGCUCAAAUAACCACCGUGGCCACUCAGGCUGGCAGGCUCUUGCUCCUGGACGUGCAGAGCGGCAGGCCUGGAGGCCGGGAAGGAGGGAGCGAUGACCAAGACUUCCUGGAACACCGCUUGUUCUUACGACAAACCCGCUAAUGUGGCCUGUAAGUAGGACGCUCAGGGCCUCGGCACUGCCUGGAACCUCUGCCCGCCCCACACCAUCACCAGCAUCUCUCCACGCCCCUUCAUUGUUCCUACUCGUCCUCAGAACUCAGCUCAAGCCACGCCAGUGCCCUUGCCUCCAGACCAGCUUCGGGCCUGAAGGAGGGGCUCAGGUUGGACUCACUGAUGAGUGAUGGCAAUGUGAACGUCACUGUGGUGGAUCACAGAGAGUCUGAACUGGAAGGAACCCUAGAGAUCAUGAGAUAGCAUGAGGAGAGGGCACGGCCCUGGACCAAGAGAAGCUGAAAGACUGAGAUAGGCUGCGGGGAAACCACUUGGUCAAGUCCAAGUCUUCAUUCUACAGUGGAAGAAACUGAGAGGGCAGGGAUUGGCCCAAGGUCACACAGAGUCGAUCCACAAACUAGGCAGGGCUGGGUGCAGGCUCCCGAGUCCUGGCGGGGAGUAUUUCCUACUGUAUCCUGCACUUAAGCAGUUCCGUUUGGGCGGAAGCUCUGCUGUUCGGGAAGAGACGCCAGGCCUUUCCAGAAUCCGG